AAAGAUGAUCGGAGUAAAUUUAUUUUUCUGAAAUUAGUUUUGGAUGCACUGGAUCAAACCCAUAUCGUUUCUUUUUCCGUUCUCCAAUUACGGGAGAAAAUUCACUCCGCGGAGAGAGAGAGAGAGAGAUUGUGUGGUUGUUCAGCUGGAGGAAAGGAAAGGGCCUUCGGGGAUUUUGCAUAGCUCAGGAAGGAAUUCAAUGGACUUGUCCGACUGCCAUUGUAACAGGCUGGCUAAAGGAGAUGGAAGGAAGCUCGAUGUUUGUGAGGCAAUCUUGGAAGUCGGUCAUAGAGAUUCACUUUUGAGAGGCAUAUAGUCUUUGGAGGAGUGCGAUUGAGGAAAAUAUGGUAUGAUCAUGUCGGUUUCGUGGAGGACCUGGUGGAGUUUUAUAUGUGGUAGGCCUUUGGAAGAGUAUUAUGAGUAUCUGGUAGAAUUUCUUCCAUCUUCAGGGUGUGAAGAGUGUAAGCUCCAGAAAGUCGAGUUCUUUUGUGUUGGCACUUCCAUUAACAAAACAAAUUUCUCUGUAUCCAGUUUAUCGAGUGGUAUUUUAUUUUACUUAUCUUUUAUAGAGUCUAUUUAGGGAUUAUGUGGGAAGGGUCGCAUGAUUUUAUUUUUGGCAUGACUUACAUUUCCGUCAAUAAGGAAGCUCAUGUGGUAGAGAUAUUGGGCUGCUCAGUUGAGGAGGCCCUUCCCUAAUUGGGAGUUGGAAUUUUUAGGGACGGGGGACUCCCUUUAAAUGCUCCAACAUUGCCAGAUUCAAGGAGAGCGAGAACACAUCUUGUCUUGGAGACUUGCAAGGAGUGGUCGGUACUCGGUACAGUAACGGCAUUCUGAGUUACACUAAUCUUUUCAUUGGGAGGAGUCCAUUCUGACCCUGGAAAUAUAGCUUCGACCAAGAUGGUACUUUUUAUCAGAUUGGUGUUGCGUAUGUGCUAGUAGGGGAGGACACUAACCACCAGUUACUGCAUUGUUCAGUGACGAAUGAGGUGGGGAAUCUUGUUAUUUCCUCUUUAGUGUAUUUGGGCUGAUGCCUUGUACAAAGUGAAGCAACAUGUCACUACUGGGCUAGAGGGUUUUUGAUGAGCAGAUUUAGCGACUCUGUAUUUUGGGUUUUCUAGGAACGAGGGGAUAGGAGAUUUUUUGAGAAUGACAACAGCUGUUAUUGUGCCCGGAAAACUGAUUGCUAAUUUGCCCAAGGAAUUUUUUCCUUCUCACUCUUGAUUCUUGUGUUGAUCUUUUGAAGCAAAAGCUUAUUAAAAAGCUUGAAACUGGGCUCCGCAAAGUCUCCUCCAUUGCAAUCCUUCUUGGCUGUAUAUCUCCAAUUUUACAUUUUGGGUUUCUGGUUCCUAACUUUGAUGGAUAGAUGAUUUUGCUGUUGAUUUUGCUCCUAAUUUUAUUGGUUAACAAUUGUUGAGCUUCUAUUUUCUCGUGCAUAUGUCUGAGAUGCCCCUUUUUGUGCAGAUUAUAACAUGAUUGCUGGAAGCAGAGAGGGAAAAAUGUGUUGGUUUAUAUGGAAUUCUAAAGUAUGUUUUCAAUUUUUCCUCCACCCCUGCACGCAUGGUCGGACAAGAUGUUAUUUUUAAAGUUUUACCAUGAUUUGUUAGAUCAUGGAGAGUUAUGUUCAGAUUCCUCUUCCGUUUACUAGAAAUGAGUAGCUUCCGUAAAAGUAUGCUGAAAUUGGUACGUUUGGGUGAAUUCCAUCCAUAGUAGAUAUGCACUAACAAGAACGUAGAUGAGCAAAAACUUUCAUCCUUCUGUUGUGAUUUUGAGGGUAGCAUACUGAUAUGAUUAUUAUUUAUGAGUCUAUGACUAAGAGGAGCAAAAAUGCAUGUACAUACGCGAAAAGGUGCUUUGUAGAAAGGUUGGUGCUCUAGAUUGAACUUUAUGACCGGCCGUCUUUAAUGUGCUUGUUUUUCUUUUUUGUCCCUAUCUUAUUUUGAAAUUCGGUGUCGUUGCUCUAAUAUGGUCUGUAUAUAUUUCAGGUGCUAACCAAAAGGUACGAGUACUAGUGUGGCCUUUCAUCGUUCUUAUCCUCUAUUUGCAUCAUGCUCUGAUGGAGUAACCAACUGUAAGUUCCAUUCUCGGCAACCCAGGUUGUUUAUGGCAGUGCUGGUUCAGUGAUCAGACUUCAGUGUCACCAAGUAUCAGGAAGUGAUCUGUUCAAGAUUAAGUGGGGAAGAAAAGUAUUUCAGAAUGCUGAUAGGACAAUCUCACAAGGGAUGGAGGGCAGCUGAAGUAUGUAUCAGCGGAUAUAUUCAGUUUUUCUACUCUGGGAAGACAAAUAAGUCAUCUAAAAUGGCAACAAAUGCCUCCUUUCUCAAAUGCCUACUUUCACUUCAAUAAUGUCAGUCUCCAAUGAGCGUGCUUGAACACUAUCUAUGUUCGUAUCAAUAAUUGAAUUUGCAGACUUGUAUGGUCCCGCAUAGAAUGUUCCUUUUUAGCAGUCCAGUUCAUGUUUAAUUUUGGGGACAAUUCAUUUUGACUCGUAAAGCUGAAACUCUUUGGCAAA
Molecule: RNA transcript, 2509 nt
Organism: Rhododendron vialii
Lineage: Eukaryota; Viridiplantae; Streptophyta; Magnoliopsida; Ericales; Ericaceae
Exons: 3
Source: RefSeq, a predicted model, not a curated record